RNAcentral lists this ribosomal RNA (1431 nucleotides) under Limosilactobacillus fermentum. RNAcentral describes it as "bacterial SSU rRNA". It matches the Rfam family "Bacterial small subunit ribosomal RNA". Lineage: Bacteria; Bacillati; Bacillota; Bacilli; Lactobacillales; Lactobacillaceae. The record is from RNAcentral.
AGUCGAACGCGUUGGCCCAAUUGAUUGAUGGUGCUUGCACCUGAUUGAUUUUGGUCGCCAACGAGUGGCGGACGGGUGAGUAACACGUAGGUAACCUGCCCAGAAGCGGGGGACAACAUUUGGAAACAGAUGCUAAUACCGCAUAACAGCGUUGUUCGCAUGAACAACGCUUAAAAGAUGGCUUCUCGCUAUCACUUCUGGAUGGACCUGCGGUGCAUUAGCUUGUUGGUGGGGUAACGGCCUACCAAGGCGAUGAUGCAUAGCCGAGUUGAGAGACUGAUCGGCCACAAUGGGACUGAGACACGGCCCAUACUCCUACGGGAGGCAGCAGUAGGGAAUCUUCCACAAUGGGCGCAAGCCUGAUGGAGCAACACCGCGUGAGUGAAGAAGGGUUUCGGCUCGUAAAGCUCUGUUGUUAAAGAAGAACACGUAUGAGAGUAACUGUUCAUACGUUGACGGUAUUUAACCAGAAAGUCACGGCUAACUACGUGCCAGCAGCCGCGGUAAUACGUAGGUGGCAAGCGUUAUCCGGAUUUAUUGGGCGUAAAGAGAGUGCAGGCGGUUUUCUAAGUCUGAUGUGAAAGCCUUCGGCUUAACCGGAGAAGUGCAUCGGAAACUGGAUAACUUGAGUGCAGAAGAGGGUAGUGGAACUCCAUGUGUAGCGGUGGAAUGCGUAGAUAUAUGGAAGAACACCAGUGGCGAAGGCGGCUACCUGGUCUGCAACUGACGCUGAGACUCGAAAGCAUGGGUAGCGAACAGGAUUAGAUACCCUGGUAGUCCAUGCCGUAAACGAUGAGUGCUAGGUGUUGGAGGGUUUCCGCCCUUCAGUGCCGGAGCUAACGCAUUAAGCACUCCGCCUGGGGAGUACGACCGCAAGGUUGAAACUCAAAGGAAUUGACGGGGGCCCGCACAAGCGGUGGAGCAUGUGGUUUAAUUCGAAGCUACGCGAAGAACCUUACCAGGUCUUGACAUCUUGCGCCAACCCUAGAGAUAGGGCGUUUCCUUCGGGAACGCAAUGACAGGUGGUGCAUGGUCGUCGUCAGCUCGUGUCGUGAGAUGUUGGGUUAAGUCCCGCAACGAGCGCAACCCUUGUUACUAGUUGCCAGCAUUAAGUUGGGCACUCUAGUGAGACUGCCGGUGACAAACCGGAGGAAGGUGGGGACGACGUCAGAUCAUCAUGCCCCUUAUGACCUGGGCUACACACGUGCUACAAUGGACGGUACAACGAGUCGCGAACUCGCGAGGGCAAGCAAAUCUCUUAAAACCGUUCUCAGUUCGGACUGCAGGCUGCAACUCGCCUGCACGAAGUCGGAAUCGCUAGUAAUCGCGGAUCAGCAUGCCGCGGUGAAUACGUUCCCGGGCCUUGUACACACCGCCCGUCACACCAUGAGAGUUUGUAACACCCAAAGUCGGUGGGGUAACCUUUUAGGA